UCGGAAUGAACUCAAUAUGGCGGAAACAAGUGGACUAGAUCCCACGUCUCUUGUCCAACCGACACUCAGAUAUAAUGCUAUCUUUUAGAUUGUUUAGUUAGGAAAUAUGAGAGGAUCGAUUCAAAAUAAUUUUUUUGCAUUCCGGCAGGAAAAAUAACAACGAAAGCUUCAACAUUUGGAAAGGGCUGAGAACUCCACAAUGAGCCACCGCCAAGCAACAGAAUUCCAAGGGGCCUCCCCCUCCCUUCCGCUGCCUCCAGAUCAUGUGUUGAACUCGGGAGCAGUAGUUUUCCCUGGUGCCUUUGAUCAGCAUGGAUGUCCUCUGGUUCUGUUCCCUGUGGAUUCUCAUGGCAGUCUUUCAGAUCUAAGCAAAUCUGAAGUGGUUGACU
This is a long non-coding RNA of Oncorhynchus masou masou (cherry salmon), 389 nucleotides long. RefSeq lists it as uncharacterized. NCBI's taxonomy places the organism in Eukaryota, Metazoa, Chordata, Actinopteri, Salmoniformes, Salmonidae. The transcript has 3 exons. The record is from RefSeq and is a predicted model, not a curated record.